RNAcentral lists this ribosomal RNA (112 nucleotides) under Acanthosepion pharaonis. The record is from RNAcentral. Lineage: Eukaryota; Metazoa; Mollusca; Cephalopoda; Sepiida; Sepiidae.
ACAGUCAAAUCACGCUGAAACACCGGUUCUCGUACGAUCACCGAAGUUAAGCAUCGUAGAGCCAGGUCAGUACUUAGAUGGGGGACCGCUUGGGAACACCUGGUACUGUAAG